This 1437-nucleotide ribosomal RNA is filed under the name uncultured organism. RNAcentral's name for it is "SSU rRNA". It matches the Rfam family "Bacterial small subunit ribosomal RNA". The record is from RNAcentral.
GUAUGAACGCUAGCUACAGGCUUAACACAUGCAAGUCGAGGGGCAGCAUGGUCUUAGCUUGCUAAGACUGAUGGCGACCGGCGCACGGGUGAGUAACACGUAUCCAACCUGCCGUCUACUCUUGGACAGCCUUCUGAAAGGAAGAUUAAUACAAGAUGGCAUCAUGAGUCCACAUGUUCACAUGAUUAAAGGUAUUCCGGUAGACGAUGGGGAUGCGUUCCAUUAGAUAGUAGGCGGGGUAACGGCCCACCUAGUCUUCGAUGGAUAGGGGUUCUGAGAGGAAGGUCCCCCACAUUGGAACUGAGACACGGUCCAAACUCCUACGGGAGGCAGCAGUGAGGAAUAUUGGUCAAUGGGCGAGAGCCUGAACCAGCCAAGUAGCGUGAAGGAUGACUGCCCUAUGGGUUGUAAACUUCUUUUAUAAAGGAAUAAAGUCGGGUAUGCAUACCCGUUUGCAUGUACUUUAUGAAUAAGGAUCGGCUAACUCCGUGCCAGCAGCCGCGGUAAUACGGAGGAUCCGAGCGUUAUCCGGAUUUAUUGGGUUUAAAGGGAGCGUAGAUGGAUGUUUAAGUCAGUUGUGAAAGUUUGCGGCUCAACCGUAAAAUUGCAGUUGAUACUGGAUAUCUUGAGUGCAGUUGAGGCAGGCGGAAUUCGUGGUGUAGCGGUGAAAUGCUUAGAUAUCACGAAGAACUCCGAUUGCGAAGGCAGCCUGCUAAGCUGCAACUGACAUUGAGGCUCGAAAGUGUGGGUAUCAAACAGGAUUAGAUACCCUGGUAGUCCACACGGUAAACGAUGAAUACUCGCUGUUUGCGAUAUACAGCAAGCGGCCAAGCGAAAGCGUUAAGUAUUCCACCUGGGGAGUACGCCGGCAACGGUGAAACUCAAAGGAAUUGACGGGGGCCCGCACAAGCGGAGGAACAUGUGGUUUAAUUCGAUGAUACGCGAGGAACCUUACCCGGGCUUAAAUUGCAGAUGAAUUACGGUGAAAGCCGUAAGCCGCAAGGCAUCUGUGAAGGUGCUGCAUGGUUGUCGUCAGCUCGUGCCGUGAGGUGUCGGCUUAAGUGCCAUAACGAGCGCAACCCUUGUUGUCAGUUACUAACAGGUCCUGCUGAGGACUCUGACAAGACUGCCAUCGUAAGAUGUGAGGAAGGUGGGGAUGACGUCAAAUCAGCACGGCCCUUACGUCCGGGGCUACACACGUGUUACAAUGGGGGGUACAGAGGGCCGCUACCACGCGAGUGGAUGCCAAUCCCCAAAACCUCUCUCAGUUCGGACUGGAGUCUGCAACCCGACUCCACGAAGCUGGAUUCGCUAGUAAUCGCGCAUCAGCCACGGCGCGGUGAAUACGUUCCCGGGCCUUGUACACACCGCCCGUCAAGCCAUGGGAGCCGGGGGUACCUGAAGUGCGUAACCGCGAGGAGCGCCCUAGGGUAAAAC